GUGAGAAAGACUCUGAUAAUGACUCAAGUGCACUAUAGGGUCUCCACGUAGGUGGACAGUGACUUAAGGCUCCAGGCUCAGCAGGAGCCCCUUCUGUCUGAUGUAGUUUCAUUUUUCUGUGGUACUCAGUUUCCCACCCAUUAGGUCUUAGUGUGGCCUGUUUCCCCAUUAAACAUAGUCAGGAUUAAUUCAGGGGUUCGUAUCUGGGUCAUAGAUAAACCAGCCAACACUUCAUUUCACCUUUACGAACAAACCAAAGACAGAAUCCUGGGAUGUGGGGGCUCUGCUUCCCUGUCUUUCCUGCCUCUAAGCCUGUUUCUUCCUCACUGGAGGAAAGGACUGAGCCCUACCUCUUCAUGACCUCAGGGCCUGCUGUGGAGCAGGAAUCCAGGUGCAGCUUAGGUGGGUGCCUCUGUUUCAAGAUCUCUUACGAGACUACAAUUAAAGUCUAAGCUGGGACUACAGCCUCAUUUCACGGCUUGACUGUGGAAGGAUCUGCUUCCAAGGUCACUCAUGUGGUUGUUGGCAGGAAUCAGUCCUCAGGUGCUGUUGGACUUGGUUCCGUGCUGGCUAUUGGCUGGAGGCUGUCCUCAGUUCCUUGCCGUGUGGACCUCUCUGUAGGGCAGCUCACAACAUGGCAGAUGGCUUCCAUCAGAGCAAGGAGGUGAGAAAAACAGAGAGAACGAGAAAGACAGAGAAAGAGAUGGAUGGAAGCCAAAAUGUUUUUGCAAUCUGACCUCAGAUGUGGCAUCCUGUCUCUUUUGUCAUAUUCUGUUCAUUAAAAAAAAGUCAUUAGGUUCAGCUCACACUCAAGGUGAGGGGAUUACACGACGGAAUGAAGACCAGGAGCCAUCUCAGUGGCUCCCUAGGACACAGCUCAAAUCUGCUCUUUCAUCCCGUGUCAGACCUGGACAGCUCUGACCCAUUCUCCAAGCCUCAGAGUAGAUGCUUUACCCUCCAGGAUUGAGUUAAUGGUCCUUCAAGCAUGCCUCUGUGACACCCUGGACUUCUCCAUCAUAGCCCCCACCACAGCAUGUCAUUACCUAGCCACUGGUCUGCCUCCUGCCCCUUCUGUAAGCUCUGUGAGGACAGCCACCUUGUCUCUUGUCUUCACUGAUGUGGACCCAGACCCAAGCAUAGGGCCAAAACAUACUGGGCACUCGGGGUAUGUUUACUAAAUUUAUUAAACG
RNAcentral lists this long non-coding RNA (1190 nucleotides) under Equus caballus (horse). RNAcentral's name for it is "lncRNA (ENSECAG00000049093.1)". Lineage: Eukaryota; Metazoa; Chordata; Mammalia; Perissodactyla; Equidae. The record is from RNAcentral.